Dermochelys coriacea (leatherback sea turtle) is the source of this 768-nucleotide long non-coding RNA. RefSeq lists it as uncharacterized. Lineage: Eukaryota; Metazoa; Chordata; Testudines; Dermochelyidae. The transcript is spliced from 3 exons. The record is from RefSeq and is a predicted model, not a curated record.
GAUUCAGUUAUAAUGGAUCCAAUUGGAAUUGGAAUCAGAGAACCAGAGCUACAAAAAUGACUACUGGAAGAUAUGGAUCUCACUUUGGAUAAAACAGUAAGACUGUGUCAGGAAGCACAAAUCACUCCAAACAGAAUAAAAAUAAUGGAAGGAAAACAGGACACCGCCAAUCUUGAUAGAGUGACAAGAGAGAGAAAAAACUGGCAAGCAGUAAGUCACUAGAGAACAAAAAACACAGAGAAGCCUGAAAAACAAAACGUGAGAGUUCACAAGGGACAGCUUCAAGCAUUGCACAAGAUGUGGACACAAAUACAGACCUCAACAAUGCCCGGCUUUUGUUAAGCGCUGCAAUGUUUGUAAGAAAUGCAGUUAUUUGCCAAAGUCUGCAACCAGGAUCACACAGCAGACAAGGAGGCAGAGCCUGCAUUCUGAAGCACUAAUCUAGGAAGAGAGUACAGACAGCAGCACAGAAGACAAGUUUAUCUAGGAGCUGUAUCUGAAGAGGAAGAACAGAUGAAUGGACAAUUUCCUUAGAAACUAAUGGGACUCUAUAACCUACAGAUUGGACACUCAAACUCAGGUAAAGGAUCGGGAUUUGCAGUGAGAGUACAGCACCUAGCUCAAUGGGACUCCAGUCUCACAUCACCGAAUGAAUGGAAUUCCAGUCCAUCCUGAAAUCAUUCACCCGUUGUAAGAGAGCAGCAGAUCUUGACGUCAGGCUGUGAGUCACAAAAAAUGCAGGACUGGUAAAUAAUGAAGAGGAUAGGC